CUGGGGUUGGGGCUCAGUGGUAGAGCACUUACCUAGCAUGUGUGAGGCACUGGGUUCAAUCCUCGGCACCGCAUA
This 75-nucleotide transfer RNA is filed under the name Marmota monax (woodchuck). Its description in RNAcentral is "tRNA.Ala". The record is from RNAcentral. Lineage: Eukaryota; Metazoa; Chordata; Mammalia; Rodentia; Sciuridae.